This 436-nucleotide unclassified non-coding RNA is filed under the name fungal sp. Its description in RNAcentral is "partial internal transcribed spacer region". The stretch from base 1 to 46 matches the Rfam family "Eukaryotic small subunit ribosomal RNA", at positions 1786 to 1831 of the family's 1831-position model. The record is from RNAcentral. Lineage: Eukaryota; Fungi.
AAGUCGUAACAAGGUUUCCGUAGGUGAACCUGCGGAAGGAUCAUUAUCACGUACUUUUCGUACUAACUAAAUACGCGCACUCAGUCACUUUGGUUAAUUGGAAGGUGUGAGUUUUACAUGUCGAAAAUCUGUCCGGGUGGUUUUCUCGUAGGCUUUUUCACUUCUCACGAUUUGAAACUGCAUGCGUUUUAAGGACAGAUCAUGCAUUACUCUCAAGGCACUGCUUUCGGGCAUGCUUUGGGCCUUCCUGCCUACCUCUGCGACGCACUUUAAAAAAUUGCCGAUUAAUUUAUUAAUCACUUUAACCAUUCUUAAACAGUAGUCUUGAUUUAUAUCAGGACCUCGAACUAAAUUGUGUGGUUGUCUCUGAAAAGAGGUAUAACUACCUUACGAAAUUGCUUCAGAACAACUCUUAACAACGGAUAUCUUGGCUCUC